Molecule: non-coding RNA, 136 nt
Organism: Triticum urartu
Lineage: Eukaryota; Viridiplantae; Streptophyta; Magnoliopsida; Poales; Poaceae
Source: Rfam
AUUCUACUCCCUCUGUUGCAUAAUACAUGCCUUCUAUUUGUCAAAAUAUAUAUGUAUCUAGACAUGUCUUAUUAUAUAGGUACAUCCAUUUUUGGACAAAUGGAAGUCAAGUAUUUUGGAACGGAGGGAGUACACA